AAUUCCUGCAUAAGGAUGUGUGAGCACAGAAUUCCAUCUUUCUGGAACUUACAGCAUAUGCAGUUAAAGUCUUUGUUCUCAAGAUUAGUCAUCACAAUGUAUUUUCUGGGUCUAUGUUGUUUUUCUACUAUGGAUGGUUUAGGAUAAACCUCGUACACCUUCCCCACCUCCAAACACCUGUAGCUGAAUCUUGUUGUGGCUUCGAUCUCUCUCUGAAAUUUGCUGAAUAUUUUCCUAUUAUACAUUUCCAUUCCCUGUUUUUCAACAUAAUAACUGCUCCACAACUCCUUGGGUUGUAUCUUCAAAUCUCUCUGCACUAUCUAUUGUAUUGACUAUUCUUUGGUAUUCUUUCAGGAAGCUUAUUAUACUGUAUGUCGGCCCCACAUUAUCCUUGAACCUGGAGUUGGCCCCUUCACUCCUUGCAGUGCUAUGUAGAAAUGGGCAGAAGUUUUCUUUAAAGAAUACAGUUGUCUCACCUGCUAGGAACGCACAGCCAAACAAGCAACUCUGUCCAUGGCCUGUAACACCAACAAAAGGAGCAAAAGGCAAGUUGUACCUGUUUGUCAUGACUGUAGUGUCAAAGCUGACUAGGUCUCCAUAUUCAGCAUAAUAUUCUAUGGAUGAAGAAUCACAGCAAAAUAUGUUUUUCAGUUUCUUGUCUUCAUCAAGAUCAAAUUUAUAGAAGAAUGAUAGGUCUUCUUUUUUCUUUUUUCUGAAGAAUUUCAAUACUUGUGUGAGAUCAUUCCCAGUAACUUGUCUGUUAAUCUUUGUUCUGAAAUUGCUGACUGCUUUCUUGUCACAAGGAUUAGCUGUCACACCUCCUCUUAAUGUCAACAAUAUGGCUACCAUUUUCCUUGUAGGAAUGUUGUUCUCAUUGAGUGUAUGUAUCAAGGACUUUUCUAUUUCAGUCGUACCUGUGCCCACUGAAUAGCUCAUUUCUUGACCCAGGACUAAGAGGGUGAUUGUGAUCAAGGUCCAAUCUUGUAAUCUUCCAAAAUCCAUUCACUUAACUACCAUAACCACAUGGCAAUCAGUUUUGAUUUCUAUGUUUAUGUUCCUUUUCAACACCCUGACUGCAUUGCCACCAUACUGAUUUUGCUGAACAUCUUUCUUAAUUCUUACUACUUUCUAUAGUUUUUGCAGCAGGCUUGCCAUGUUUGCUGCAUUUCAUUUCCUGCUUCACGAUCUCAUUGUUCCUUUUUCUACUCGUAGUUCUGACAAAAUGUGUCACAUUCACAGUGAACCCAGCAAGAUAAGCAUAGAAGUUGAAGUAGUGGUGAGCAUCCUCUCUACUCUUGAACUCUUGUCCAGUUUGUAGGGUGUAUAUGCUAUUCAAGUCUGCAUUGUUACCCUCUGAAGCUGCCACCAACUCUGUCUGUAUGAACGAGUCCACAUCAUCCUCUGUGAAUUCUCUACUCCCGUACCUUUCAUCUUGGUUGGUGUCUUCAACCUCUAUACCUUGUAUAGUAAGUUCUGUCGUGAUUGCAUCUGCAAUUAUUGUGUGUGCAGUAUCAGCCUGCAAAAACUUGCAGCCAUCUGAAGAUUCUGGAACCUGUGCAAUUCGUAUAAAGAAUCAAUAACACUUUUUGACAUUUAAAUUUUUUCAGAAUAAGUAUAUAAGUAUAUUUUUCCAUUCCUUACGCACAUGCUCCACAUGUAGGCCAUCAAAGAUAUCAAGCUGCCGGUUUGUGUCAUAAUCUCCACCCUCAAUAUGCUCAUCAUCAAUCUGGUCAUUAUGUACCUGUGCUUUUGGAUUGUUAGUUUUCAAAAAUAAACCCAAGUAUAUAACCAAUACAAAUUUCUUAAACUUAGUAACAACACCUCAUUGUUUGUGAUAGAGUUGCUUGCAGUGUCUGUGUCUGUGUCUGCGUCGAGGCUUGCCUCCAAAUUAAAAUUAUUGUCCUGAAAGUAUAUCACUUUAUUUGCAUCUUUCUUGCAAUUAAUUGCACAAAUUUGCAAGUAUUGUUAUUUCAAGAUUCCAGUACAGAGGUAAACAUGGUUUUUCUUUCUUUUUAUUUUUCCCGACCUGGUUAAUGGGCACUCCUGUCAACAUCUCAGUAAAAGACUGACCAUAAACCUGUAAGCAAAUAUUUUAUAUGAUUCCUUGUUUUCUUCCAAUCAGAGAUAAUGUGCGAGGAUGUUCAAAGGAAGGGGGAGUGAUAUGCAAAAGAAAAAAAGGUAGCUUACUUGCAACUCUGCAUCAAGGCUAGCACCCUCUUGUGAACCAGUGAUCUUAUUUAAUAUCUCUGUAUAUGUGCCUUGAAUAUCUCCCUGUCAGAAAAAUAGCCAGUUUCUCUUUUUUCUUCUUUUCACAUGUACUAUUCUUUUAAAUGCAAAAAUAAAUAUAUGUAGUUUUAAAUUUAUAAUAGAAACUUAUACACAACAGUCCAGGGUGUAUUCCAGAAAUCUGGCUCCACCUCUAUCCUUCCCAUAGAAUGAACCUGUAAAUAUGGGGGAAGAGAAAAUUAGUGUGAUGUGAAUUCUUUAUCUUUUUGUGCGCGGAGGUAUAUAUUAUCUACACAGAAUCGUUUGAAUUAUUCCGGCUCAAGUGCGCAGAUCAUUGCUGUACAGGCGAUAUGACCUCAACGCACUUCAAACGAAAUAACCCAAUGGUCUGUUGGGUAACGUCCCGAUGAAACCACCGGAUUCCGG
Molecule: long non-coding RNA, 2652 nt
Organism: Panicum hallii
Lineage: Eukaryota; Viridiplantae; Streptophyta; Magnoliopsida; Poales; Poaceae
Exons: 3
Source: RefSeq, a predicted model, not a curated record